GCGUGAAUGAUGAUCUCCUUUCUUUUGUCGGAUACCCCUUCACUCUCCAAUGAGUGAGAGCCUCCCUCUGACACGC
This is a small nucleolar RNA of Amphiprion ocellaris (clown anemonefish), 76 nucleotides long. The record is from Ensembl. Lineage: Eukaryota; Metazoa; Chordata; Actinopteri; Pomacentridae.